This 20-nucleotide unclassified non-coding RNA is filed under the name Mus musculus (house mouse). RNAcentral's name for it is "oocyte_clustered_small_RNA6726". Lineage: Eukaryota; Metazoa; Chordata; Mammalia; Rodentia; Muridae. The record is from RNAcentral.
ACCGCGGCUGAGGUUCGACC